RNAcentral lists this transfer RNA (99 nucleotides) under Hypoxylon fuscum. RNAcentral describes it as "tRNA-Ser". It matches the Rfam family "tRNA". Rfam says of the family: Transfer RNA (tRNA) molecules are approximately 80 nucleotides in length. Their secondary structure includes four short double-helical elements and three loops (D, anti-codon, and T loops). Further hydrogen bonds mediate the characteristic L-shaped molecular structure. tRNAs have two regions of fundamental functional importance: the anti-codon, which is responsible for specific mRNA codon recognition, and the 3' end, to which the tRNAs corresponding amino acid is attached (by aminoacyl-tRNA synthetases). tRNAs cope with the degeneracy of the genetic code in two manners: having more than one tRNA (with a specific anti-codon) for a particular amino acid; and 'wobble' base-pairing, i.e. permitting non-standard base-pairing at the 3rd anti-codon position. The record is from RNAcentral. Lineage: Eukaryota; Fungi; Ascomycota; Sordariomycetes; Xylariales; Hypoxylaceae.
GGCGCUUUGGCGGAGUGGUUAACGCGAUGCCCUGCUAUAGUUUCAUAGCUUAGUCAGGCAUUUCCUUCGGGAGCGCAGGUUCGAAUCCUGCAGGCGUCG